GCCAGGCAUGGUGGUGCACGCCUGUAAUCCCAGCAAUUUGGGAGGCUGAGACGGGAGAAUUGAAAGUUUGAGGCCAGCCUCAGCAAUUCAGUGAGGCCUUCAGCAACAUAGUAAGAUCCUGUCUCAA
RNAcentral lists this small RNA (127 nucleotides) under Marmota monax (woodchuck). The record is from RNAcentral. Lineage: Eukaryota; Metazoa; Chordata; Mammalia; Rodentia; Sciuridae.